RNAcentral lists this long non-coding RNA (238 nucleotides) under Sorghum bicolor (sorghum). RNAcentral describes it as "long non-coding RNA (SBIC_LNC017204)". Lineage: Eukaryota; Viridiplantae; Streptophyta; Magnoliopsida; Poales; Poaceae. The record is from RNAcentral.
GCGCUUGACGGCGCUGGCUAUGCCGUGCGGCGCCGGUAGCUAUGGCGUGCGCAGUGGUGGCGGCGGACCGCGGAGGAGCGAGCGCAGUGGUGUGCGCGGGUCCGGUGGCGAUGGUGGCGGCGGGCGUGGCGGCGAGCGCGGCUGGAGGUUGGGGAUAACCCCGAUAUGUGGGGCCCACCUGCCAGCGUGAGGGAGAGAAGGGGAGAGGGCACGGGCUGUGCUGGGCUGCUGGACCGCG